This 592-nucleotide ribosomal RNA is filed under the name uncultured Gammaproteobacteria bacterium. RNAcentral's name for it is "bacterial SSU rRNA". It matches the Rfam family "Bacterial small subunit ribosomal RNA", at positions 355 to 937 of the family's 1533-position model. Lineage: Bacteria; Pseudomonadati; Pseudomonadota; Gammaproteobacteria. The record is from RNAcentral.
UGGGGAAUAUUGGACAAUGGGCGCAAGCCUGAUCCAGCAAUGCCGCGUGUGUGAAGAAGGCCUACGGGUUGUAAAGCACUUUCAGUAGGGAGAAAAAAUCUAAGGUUAAUACCCUUAGAUCAUGAUGUUACCUACAGAAGAAGCACCGGCUAACUCUGUGCCAGCAGCCGCGGUAAUACAGAGGGUGCAAGCGUUAAUCGGAGUUACUGGGCGUAAAGCGUGCGUAGGCGGAUAUUCAAGUCGGGUGUGAAAGCCCCGGGCUCAACCUGGGAACUGCAUUCGAUACUGGGUAUCUAGAGUAUGGUAGAGGGAAGUGGAAUUUCCGGUGUAGCGGUGAAAUGCGUAGAUAUCGGAAAGAACACCAGUGGCGAAGGCGACUUCCUGGACCAAUACUGACGCUGAGGUACGAAAGCGUGGGGAGCAAACAGGAUUAGAGACCCUGGUAGUCCACGCCGUAAACGAUGAGAACUAGGCGUUAAUUCCGCAUUGCGGAACUAGUGCCACAGCUAACGCGUUAAGUUCUCCGCCUGGGGAGUACGGUCGCAAGAUUAAAACUCAAAGGAAUUGACGGGGGCCCGCACAAGCGGUGGAG